This 694-nucleotide ribosomal RNA is filed under the name uncultured bacterium. RNAcentral's name for it is "bacterial SSU rRNA". It matches the Rfam family "Bacterial small subunit ribosomal RNA", at positions 111 to 823 of the family's 1533-position model. The record is from RNAcentral.
UAACGCGUGGGUAACCUGCCUCAUACAGGGGGAUAACAGUUAGAAAUGACUGCUAAUACCGCAUAAGACCACAGCACCGCAUGGUGCGGGGGUAAAAACUCCGGUGGUAUGAGAUGGACCCGCGUCUGAUUAGCUAGUUGGUAAGGUAACGGCUUACCAAGGCGACGAUCAGUAGCCGACCUGAGAGGGUGACCGGCCACAUUGGGACUGAGACACGGCCCAAACUCCUACGGGAGGCAGCAGUGGGGAAUAUUGCACAAUGGGGGAAACCCUGAUGCAGCGACGCCGCGUGAGCGAAGAAGUAUUUCGGUAUGUAAAGCUCUAUCAGCAGGGAAGAAAAUGACGGUACCUGACUAAGAAGCACCGGCUAAAUACGUGCCAGCAGCCGCGGUAAUACGUAUGGUGCAAGCGUUAUCCGGAUUUACUGGGUGUAAAGGGAGCGUAGACGGAUGGGCAAGUCUGAUGUGAAAACCCGGGGCUCAACCCCGGGACUGCAUUGGAAACUGUUAAUCUAGAGUGCUGGAGAGGUAAGUGGAAUUCCUAGUGUAGCGGUGAAAUGCGUAGAUAUUAGGAGGAACACCAGUGGCGAAGGCGGCUUACUGGACAGUAACUGACGUUGAGGCUCGAAAGCGUGGGGAGCAAACAGGAUUAGAUACCCUGGUAGUCCACGCCGUAAACGAUGACUACUAGGUGU